Molecule: long non-coding RNA, 213 nt
Filed under: Lathyrus oleraceus (garden pea)
Lineage: Eukaryota; Viridiplantae; Streptophyta; Magnoliopsida; Fabales; Fabaceae
Description: Pisum sativum (pea) long non-coding RNA (PSAT_LNC025934)
Source: RNAcentral
UCUUCAUCCCUAUUAGAAGAAAAUCAAGAAACCUUGAGGCACUCUACAAAUCAUAAAAUCACAUACUCGCAAACCUUCAACGAUUCCAAUGACAAAUUCAGGUACGCUUCCACUUUCAUUCUUAUAUUGUAUUCGAGUAUGAGUUCUAAGGAUAUGAGUUCAUAGGAUAUGAACUCAAAGUGAUUAGAUUAGAAUUAUUUUCUUGAUUUCUAU